Molecule: ribosomal RNA, 462 nt
Filed under: uncultured Alkaliflexus sp.
Lineage: Bacteria; Pseudomonadati; Bacteroidota; Bacteroidia; Marinilabiliales; Marinilabiliaceae
Description: bacterial SSU rRNA
Rfam family: Bacterial small subunit ribosomal RNA
Source: RNAcentral
CCCGCACAAGCGAGGAACAUGUGGUUUAAUUCGAUGAUACGCGAGGAACCUUUACCUGGGUUUAAAUGGGAAGUGACAGCUUUAGAAAUAGAGCCUUCUUCGGACACUUUUUCAAGGUGCUGCAUGGUUGUCGUCAGCUCGUGCCGUGAGGUGUCGGGUUAAGUCCCCAUAACGAGCGCAACCCCUAUUGAUAGUUACCAGCACGUAAUGGUGGGGACUCUAUCGAGACUGCCGGUGUAAACCGUGAGGAAGGUGGGGAUGACGUCAAAUCAGCACGGCCCUUACAUCCAGGGCUACACACGUGUUACAAUGGCCGGUACAAAGGGCAGCUACUCCGCGAGGAGAUGCGAAUCUUAAAAACCGGUCUCAGUUCGGAUCGAAGUCUGCAACCCGACUUCGUGAAGCUGGAUUCGCUAGUAAUCGUAUAUCAGCCAUGAUACGGUGAAUACGUUCCCGGGCCUU